GACGGAGGCCCCGAGCGUUGUUCGGAAUUACUGGGCUUAAAGCGCGUGUAGGCGGGCCGGUAAGUGCUUUGUGAAAUCCCCGGGCUCAACCCGGGAAUGGCUUGGCAUACUGCCGGUCUUGAGGCAGGUAGGGGUCACUGGAACCUUAGGUGUAGCGGUGAAAUGCGUAGAUAUCUAAGGGAACGCCGGUGGCGAAAGCGGGUGACUGGGCCUGUCCUGACGCUGAGACGCGAAAGCGUAGGGAGCAAACGGG
This 253-nucleotide ribosomal RNA is filed under the name uncultured bacterium. Its description in RNAcentral is "partial 16S ribosomal RNA". It matches the Rfam family "Bacterial small subunit ribosomal RNA", at positions 524 to 776 of the family's 1533-position model. The record is from RNAcentral.